UGUUUUUGCUCAUUUCUCCUCCCCCCUUUCUCUAACAUCAUUCAAAGUAUCAAACCCUAAAUUCAGUUGAAGAAUUUCAACUAUGCAUAUCCUUUUUCACACUUCACCUUACCAAAUGUUCGUAUUUGACCUCCAAAUGUGUUUCUGAGUCAUGGAACGUUUUUCAUCGAAUUAAAAAUGCAGAAUACCCCUUCAGGCAUGCUUUCAUCUCUACAGGACCAGGAGAUUGGAUCUCCAUUCGUUUGUAGAGCUAUUUACUCGAUCGCCGUGAACGGACCGGAGGGAACUGCAAGAGCGGAGCUCUACCAAGAAAGGGGGUGAAAGAGAAUGAACAUAACCUGAGAGGGAGCCUCGGGUGUCAGGUACCCACAUGAGACUCUUUUUUCUGAGGUUAUAAGCAUCAUUGAAUUCUCACCGGUGUUUGCUAGAACACCAACGGCGAACGCACUCUGAUGGACAGGGUAAAUUUUUUACUCAACACAAUUAAAGCCGAAGGCUAGUGAGUGGUCUUCCCCCUACUUUCCUUCCUUCUCUAGCAGCUACAAUCUUGAAAAUAGGUGCGAGGGCCUGCACUCACUCAGUUCACCUCCCCUGCAGAAGCUAGUGCCACCAUAU
Cynara cardunculus var. scolymus (artichoke) is the source of this 615-nucleotide long non-coding RNA. RefSeq lists it as uncharacterized. The transcript has 3 exons. NCBI's taxonomy places the organism in Eukaryota, Viridiplantae, Streptophyta, Magnoliopsida, Asterales, Asteraceae. The record is from RefSeq and is a predicted model, not a curated record.